This 1265-nucleotide ribosomal RNA is filed under the name metagenome. Its description in RNAcentral is "bacterial LSU rRNA". It matches the Rfam family "Bacterial large subunit ribosomal RNA", at positions 1100 to 2443 of the family's 2925-position model. The record is from RNAcentral.
GUUGGCUUAGAAGCAGCCAUACAUUAAAAGAGUGCGUAAUAGCUCACUGGUCGAGUGACCCUGCGCCGAAAAUUCAACGGGGCUAAAAUUUAUACCGAAGCUUGGGAUUUGUACAGGAAUGUACAAGUGGUAGAGGAGCGUCGUAUUAAGGGAGAAGUCAUAGCGGAAGCGAUGGUGGACGAAAUACGAGUGAGAAUGCCGGAAUGAGUAGCGAGAAUUAUGUGAGAAUCAUAAUGGCCGAAAGUCUAAGGUUUUAGGAGGAAGGUUCGUCCGCUCCUAGUAAGCCGGGAGCUAAGGUGAGGCGGAAACGCGUAGCCGAUGCACAUACGGUAGAAAAUCCGUAGCCUCCAAAAUAUUUAAACACAGGGACACUUUGAAGAUGUUUAGCCGGGCGAUGGUUGCCCCGGUCGAAAGGGACUGAAAAUGUUCGGGAAGUAAACAUGGACGAAGGCGAGAAAAGCUGUGUGAAUAUAUGAGGAGCCCGUACCGCAAACCGACACAGGUAGAUAGGAAGAGAAUUCCAAGGCCAACGGGAGAAGGGUUGUUAAGGAACUCGGCAAGUUGACCCCGUAACUUCGGGAGAAGGGGUGCUCAUGAAAGUGAGCCGCAGAGAAUAGGCCCAAGCGACUGUUUAGCAAAAACACAGCUCUAUGCUAAAUCGAAAGAUGACGUAUAUGGGGUGACACCUGCCCGGUGCUGGAAGGUUAAGAGGAGGGGUGAGAGCUCUGAAUUGAAGCCCCAGUAAACGGCGGCCGUAACUAUAACGGUCCUAAGGUAGCGAAAUUCCUUGUCAGGUAAGUUCUGACCCGCACGAAUGGCGUAAUGAUCUGGGAGCUGUCUCAACUGCCCGCCCGGCGAAAUUGUAGUACCGGUGAAGAUGCCGGUUACCCGCGACUAGACGGAAAGACCCCAUGGAGCUUCACUGUAGCUUAAUAUUGAAUUUCGGUAUUUCAUGUACAGGAUAGGUGGGAGACUGGGAACCACAGGCGUCAGCUUGUGGGGAGUCAACCUUGGGAUACCACUCUUGAAGUGCUGGAAUUCUAACCUGCGGCCCUGAAUCGGGUCGGGGGACAUUGUUAGGUGGGCAGUUUGACUGGGGCGGUCGCCUCCUAAAGUGUAACGGAGGCGCUCAAAGGUUCGCUCAGCAUGGACGGAAACCAUGCUCUUGAGUGUAAACGCAAAAGCGAGCCUAACUGCGAGACUGACGGGUCGAGCAGUAACGAAAGUUGGAGUUAGUGAUCCGGCGGUAUGUGAAUGGAAAUGCC